Molecule: ribosomal RNA, 329 nt
Filed under: uncultured eukaryote
Lineage: Eukaryota
Description: partial 18S ribosomal RNA
Rfam family: Eukaryotic small subunit ribosomal RNA
Source: RNAcentral
CCCUUAGAUGUCCUGGGCCGCACGCGCGCUACACUGAUGCAUUCAACGAGUUUUACCUUGGCCGAGAGGCCUGGGCAAUCUUUUAAACCUGCAUCGUGAUAGGGAUAGAUUAUUGCAAUUAUUAAUCUUGAACGAGGAAUUCCUAGUAAACGCAAAUCAUCAAUUUGCAUUGAUUACGUCCCUGCCCUUUGUACACACCGCCCGUCGCACCUACCGAUUGAAGUUUUCGGUGAGCUUGCAGGAGGAAUUUUUUGAAACUGGUUCGCUAGUGGAUUUUUAUUCCAAAUGCUAACGAAUCGAUGGCUUUAGAGGAAGGAGAAGUCGUAACA